RNAcentral lists this ribosomal RNA (425 nucleotides) under uncultured bacterium. Its description in RNAcentral is "partial 16S ribosomal RNA". It matches the Rfam family "Bacterial small subunit ribosomal RNA", at positions 354 to 796 of the family's 1533-position model. The record is from RNAcentral.
GUGGGGAAUAUUGGACAAUGGGCGAAAGCCUGAUCCAGCAAUGCCGCGUGAGUGAUGAAGGCCUUAGGGUUGUAAAGCUCUUUUACCAGGGAUGAUAAUGACAGUACCUGGAGAAUAAGCUCCGGCUAACUCCGUGCCAGCAGCCGCGGUAAUACGGAGGGAGCUAGCGUUGUUCGGAAUUACUGGGCGUAAAGCGCACGUAGGCGGUUACUCAAGUCAGAGGUGAAAGCCCGGGGCUUAACCCCGGAACUGCCUUUGAAACUAGGUAACUAGAAUCUUGGAGAGGUCAGUGGAAUUCCGAGUGUAGAGGUGAAAUUCGUAGAUAUUCGGAAGAACACCAGUGGCGAAGGCGACUGACUGGACAAGUAUUGACGCUGAGGUGCGAAAGCGUGGGGAGCAAACAGGAUUAGAAACCCGAGUAGUCC